CAGCAGCCGCGGUAAAACGUAGGGUGCAAGCGUUAAUCGGAAUUACUGGGCGUAAAGCGUGCGCAGGCGGUUUGUUGAGACAGAUGUGAAAUCCCCGGGCUCGACCUGGGAACUGCAUUUGUGACUGGCAAGCUAGAGUGUGGCAGAGGGGGGUGGAAUUCCGCCUGUAGCAGUGAAAUGCGUAGAUAUGCGGAGGAACACCGAUGGCGAAGGCAGCCCCCUGGGCCAACACUGACGCUCAUGCACGAAAGCGUGGGGAGCAAACAGGAUUAGAUACCCCGGUAGUCCCUGUCUCUUAUAA
RNAcentral lists this ribosomal RNA (301 nucleotides) under uncultured bacterium. RNAcentral's name for it is "partial 16S ribosomal RNA". It matches the Rfam family "Bacterial small subunit ribosomal RNA", at positions 509 to 809 of the family's 1533-position model. The record is from RNAcentral.